AACGAACGCUGGCGGCAUGCCUAACACAUGCAAGUCGAACGAGACCUUCGGGUCUAGUGGCGCACGGGUGCGUAACGCGUGGGAAUCUGCCCUUCGGUUGGGAAUAACUGAGAGAAAUUUCAGCUAAUACCUUAUAAUGUCUUCGGACCAAAGAUUUAUCGCCGAGGGAUGAGCCCGCGUAAGAUUAGGUAGUUGGUGGGGUAAUGGCCUACCAAGCCGACGAUCCUUAGCUGGUCUGAGAGGAUGAUCAGCCACACUGGGACUGAGACACGGCCCAGACUCCUACGGGAGGCAGCAGUGGGGAAUAUUGGACAAUGGGCGAAAGCCUGAUCCAGCAAUGCCGCGUGAGUGAUGAAGGCCUUAGGGCUGUAAAGCUCUUUUACCCGGGAUGAUAAUGACAGUACCGGGAGAAUAAGCUCCGGCUAACUCCGUGCCAGCCGCCGCCGUAA
This 449-nucleotide ribosomal RNA is filed under the name uncultured bacterium. RNAcentral's name for it is "partial 16S ribosomal RNA". It matches the Rfam family "Bacterial small subunit ribosomal RNA", at positions 29 to 523 of the family's 1533-position model. The record is from RNAcentral.